This 366-nucleotide ribosomal RNA is filed under the name uncultured eukaryote. RNAcentral's name for it is "partial 18S ribosomal RNA". It matches the Rfam family "Eukaryotic small subunit ribosomal RNA", at positions 592 to 976 of the family's 1831-position model. The record is from RNAcentral.
CAAUAGCGUAUAUUAACGUUGUUGCAGUUAAAAAGCUCGUAGUUGGAUUUCUGGAGGGAGCGUCGGCCCGUAUUUACGAGUGCGUGACGUCUCUGUCCAUCCUUGCGGGAAGGCACGGCAUUGAUUUGUUGUGUCGGAUCGCAUCAUUUACUGUGAAAAAAUUAGAGUGUUCAAAGCAGGCUUUCGCUUGAAUACAUUAGCAUGGAAUAAUAAGAUAGGAAUUUGGUGCUAUUUUGUUGGUUGAGCCUAAAGUAAUGAUUAAUAGGGAUAGUUGGGGGCACCUGUAUUGCGUUGUCAGAGGUGAAAUUCUUGGAUUUACGCAAGACAAACAGCUGCGAAAGCGUCUGCCAAGGAUGUUUUCAUUAA